ACUGAGGACAGGUAAUACUACUGAAGACAGGUAAUACUACUGAGGACAGGUAAUACUACUGAAGACAGGUAAUACUACUGAGGACAGGUAAUGCUACAGAGGACAGGUAAUACUACUGAAGACAGGUAAUACCACUGAAGACAGGUAAUACUGCUGAAGACAGGUAAUACCACUGAAGACAGUUAAUACUACUGAAGACAGGUAAUACUACUGAAGACAGUUAAUACUACUGAAGACAGGUAAUACUACUGAAGACAGGUAAUACUAUUGAGGACAGGUAAUACUACUGAAGACAGGUAAUACCACUGAAGACAGGUAAUACUGCUGAAGACAGGUAAUACCACUGAAGACAGUUAAUACUACUGAAGACAGGUAAUACUACUGAAGACAGUUAAUACUACUGAGGACAGGUAAUACUACUGAAGACAGGUAAUACUGAAGACAUGUAAUACUAUUGAGGACAGGUAAUACCACUGAAGACAGUUAAUACUACUGAAGACAGGUAAUACUACUGAAGACAGUUAAUACUACUGAGGACAGGUAAUACUACUGAAGACAGGUAAUACUGAAGACAUGUAAUACUAUUGAGGACAGGUAAUACCACUGAAGACAGUUAAUACUACUGAAGACAGGUAAUACUACUGAAGACAGUUAAUACUACUGAGGACAGGUAAUACUACUGAAGACAGGUAAUACUGAAGACAUGUAAUACUAUUGAGGACAGGUAAUACUACUGAGGACAGGUAAUACUACUGAAGACAGGUAAUACCACUGAGGACAGGUAAUACUAUUGAGGACAGGCAAUACCACUGAAGACAGGUAAUACUACUAAGGACAGGUAAUACUACUGAAGAAAGGUAAUACUACUGAAGACAGGUAGUACUACUGAAGACAGGUAAUACUACUGAAGACAGGUAAUACCACUGAAGACAGGUAAUACUACUGAAGACAGGUAAUACUACUGAAGACAGGUAAUACUACUGAAGACAGGUAAUACUACUGAAGACA
Long non-coding RNA from Austrofundulus limnaeus, 1008 nucleotides. RefSeq lists it as uncharacterized. The record is from RefSeq and is a predicted model, not a curated record. The transcript has 2 exons. Lineage: Eukaryota; Metazoa; Chordata; Actinopteri; Cyprinodontiformes; Rivulidae.